AAAUAAGAAGCGAACUUUGCAACCAGUUUCGACCUGGAAAACUUGAUGUUAAUACAUCCUUAUUUA
Molecule: transfer RNA, 66 nt
Filed under: Macromia daimoji
Lineage: Eukaryota; Metazoa; Arthropoda; Insecta; Odonata; Macromiidae
Description: tRNA-Arg
Source: RNAcentral